GUGUUCACUUCAGCAGCACACAUACUAAAAUUGGAAUGAUUCAGAGAUUAGCAUGACCCCUGUGCAAGGACGACAUGAAAAUUCAUGAAAUAUUCCUUUUUUUU
This 104-nucleotide small nuclear RNA is filed under the name Phocoena sinus (vaquita). Lineage: Eukaryota; Metazoa; Chordata; Mammalia; Artiodactyla; Phocoenidae. The record is from RNAcentral. RNAcentral also lists the same sequence under 1 other name.